AAGUCGUAACAAGGUCUCCGUUGGUGAACCAGCGGAGGGAUCAUUACAGAGUUGAAAAACUCCCUAAACCACUGUGAACAUACCUUUACGUAGUUGCUUCGGCGGACGGCCCUCUCGGGGGCCUGUAGCCCCUAGCGGGGUGUCCGCCGGAGGACCAACCACAAACUCUUGCAAUUAGUGGCAUCUCUGAGUAUUUUAUAAUAAGUUAAAACUUUCAACAACGGAUCUCUUGGUUCUG
This 238-nucleotide unclassified non-coding RNA is filed under the name fungal sp. RNAcentral describes it as "partial internal transcribed spacer region". The stretch from base 1 to 46 matches the Rfam family "Eukaryotic small subunit ribosomal RNA", at positions 1786 to 1831 of the family's 1831-position model. The record is from RNAcentral. Lineage: Eukaryota; Fungi. RNAcentral also lists the same sequence under 1 other name.